This 347-nucleotide long non-coding RNA is filed under the name Homo sapiens (human). Its description in RNAcentral is "HSALNT0333238". The record is from RNAcentral. Lineage: Eukaryota; Metazoa; Chordata; Mammalia; Primates; Hominidae.
UUCACUUCUUUAGGUGUUGUGACUUACCACUCAUCAGUCUCCACUAUCCCCAAUUUCAUUUUGUAUGUGCAUUUAUACUGGAAAAAGAAAGAGUCAGCAAUUCCAGCAGCUCGAUACCACUCUCAACCCUUUCAGUGUGGAGCACCACCACAUUUGGAUUGCAGCUUAAAGGUCUCGUUGAUAGAGUCACCCCAUUCAUGUGGUGUUAGCACGGAGAUGAGAAAGAGAGAAAGACAACAUCAUGCUUUGCUGUCUGUGUGUGAACUGAGUAACAGCUGUGAAGGAUCAGUCACCAAAAGACUUUGAAAGAAGAGGCUUGAUUGGUCACGGUAAUGAUGCUCCCCUGG